RNAcentral lists this ribosomal RNA (506 nucleotides) under uncultured bacterium. Its description in RNAcentral is "partial 16S ribosomal RNA". It matches the Rfam family "Bacterial small subunit ribosomal RNA", at positions 29 to 523 of the family's 1533-position model. The record is from RNAcentral.
AGUGAACGCUGGCGGUAGGCCUAACACAUGCAAGUCGAACGGCAGCACAGGAGAGCUUGCUCUCUGGGUGGCGAGUGGCGGACGGGUGAGGAAUACAUCGGAAUCUACUCUGUCGUGGGGGAUAACGUAGGGAAACUUACGCUAAUACCGCAUACGACCUACGGGUGAAAGCAGGGGACCUUCAGGCCUUGCGCGAUUGAAUGAGCCGAUGUCGGAUUAGCUAGUUGGCGGGGUAAAGGCCCACCAAGGCGACGAUCCGUAGCUGGUCUGAGCGGAUGAUAAGCCACACUGGAACUGAGACACGGUCCAGACUCCUACGGGAGGCAGCAGUGGGGAAGAUUGGACAAUGGGCGCAAGCCUGAUCCAGCCAUACCGCGUGGGUGAAGAAGGCCUUCGGGUUGUAAAGCCCUUUUGUUGGGAAAGAAAUCCAGCUGGCUAAUACCCGGUUGGGAUGACGGUACCCAAAGAAUAAGCACCGGCUAACUUCGUGCCAGCCGCCGCGGUAA